CUUGCUCCUUCUGCCGUGGGAGGACACUGUGAAAAGAAGGCUGUCUAUGAACUAGAAACUGGACCCUCACUAGACACUAAAUGGGUAACUCUCUUGGUAUCUCAACUGUGUGAUGUAAAAGCAAAUAUAUCUGGUUACAAAGUUGGCAUUUGCAACCCUGGAGAUCAUGACAUGUUGAAAUUCGAAGAGAGUGAUUCAGAGGUGGAGACGUCACCAGAAGAAAGCCAGCUGGCCAGCUCUUGGGAAGCAUCACUGAAUAAGUUUGCCUAAGGAAGUUCACCAUGGUCUGGGGACUAACCUUAGUUGUAAAGCUUGAAAGACAAAUUUGUUCAGUCAAGGAAUGAUUGGACUGUAGUGAACUGACCCUGACACUUAUUUGUAAAAAUGAGCAGUCCCUUGGGGCUGGUCUGGUGGCACAGUGGUUAAGUUUGCAUGUUCCACUUUGGUGGCCCAGGUUCGCUGGCUUGUAUCCCAGCUGCCAUUUUGCAAGUACUUUCUGCCAGAUGACAGUUGCUGCUUUCCCACUCUCCUUCCAUGGAGAACCAUGAAGCCAUGAGAAUCUUGCACAUGGUGGCAGACAUUUAUGACAAUAUUAAAUGAACAAUAAAUAAGGAGGAUCAUUGAUGAGAAUGCGGAAUGAAGUUCUGACCAGAGAGACUAAAGCGGAAUUAUUGGAUAACAGCUUUGGAGAAUACGUUUAAA
Molecule: long non-coding RNA, 702 nt
Filed under: Equus caballus (horse)
Lineage: Eukaryota; Metazoa; Chordata; Mammalia; Perissodactyla; Equidae
Description: lncRNA (ENSECAG00000059407.1)
Source: RNAcentral